Molecule: transfer RNA, 75 nt
Filed under: Camelus bactrianus (Bactrian camel)
Lineage: Eukaryota; Metazoa; Chordata; Mammalia; Artiodactyla; Camelidae
Also listed under: 1 other name
Rfam family: tRNA
About the family: Transfer RNA (tRNA) molecules are approximately 80 nucleotides in length.
Source: Rfam by way of RNAcentral
GAGGGUGUAACUCAAGAGUUCAAGAGCACAUGCUUAGCACGCAUGAGGUCCUGGGUUCAAGCCCCAGGACCUCCU